CCUACGGGGGGCUGCAGUGGGGAAUAUUGCACAAUGGGCGCAAGCCUGAUGCAGCCAUGCCGCGUGUGUGAAGAAGGCCUUCGGGUUGUAAAGCACUUUCAGCGGGGAGGAAGGCGUUAAGGUUAAUAACCUUGGCGAUUGACGUUACCCGCAGAAGAAGCACCGGCUAACUCCGUGCCAGCAGCCGCGGUAAUACGGAGGGUGCAAGCGUUAAUCGGAAUUACUGGGCGUAAAGCGCACGCAGGCGGUCUGUCAAGUCGGAUGUGAAAUCCCCGGGCUCAACCUGGGAACUGCAUUCGAAACUGGCAGGCUAGAGUCUUGUAGAGGGGGGUAGAAUUCCAGGUGUAGCGGUGAAAUGCGUAGAGAUCUGGAGGAAUACCGGUGGCGAAGGCGGCCCCCUGGACAAAGACUGACGCUCAGGUGCGAAAGCGUGGGGUGCAAACAGGAUUAGAUACCCGAGUAGUC
This 465-nucleotide ribosomal RNA is filed under the name uncultured Klebsiella sp. RNAcentral describes it as "bacterial SSU rRNA". It matches the Rfam family "Bacterial small subunit ribosomal RNA", at positions 338 to 795 of the family's 1533-position model. The record is from RNAcentral. Lineage: Bacteria; Pseudomonadati; Pseudomonadota; Gammaproteobacteria; Enterobacterales; Enterobacteriaceae.